RNAcentral lists this ribosomal RNA (467 nucleotides) under uncultured bacterium. Its description in RNAcentral is "partial 16S ribosomal RNA". It matches the Rfam family "Bacterial small subunit ribosomal RNA", at positions 28 to 507 of the family's 1533-position model. The record is from RNAcentral.
GAUGAACGCUGGCGGCGUGCUUAACACAUGCAAGUCGAACGGAAAGGCCGAAGCUUGCUUCGGUACUCGAGUGGCGAACGGGUGAGUAACACGUGGGUGAUCUGCCCUGUACUUCGGGAUAAGCUUGGGAAACUGGGUCUAAUACCGGAUAUGACAAUCUCUUGGAUGGGGUUGUGGAAAGCUUUUGCGGUAUGGGAUGAGCUCGCGGCCUAUCAGCUUGUUGGUGGGGUAAUGGCCUACCAAGGCGUCGACGGGUAGCCGGCCUGAGAGGGUGUACGGCCACAUUGGGACUGAGAUACGGCCCAGACUCCUACGGGAGGCAGCAGUGGGGAAUAUUGCACAAUGGGCGCAAGCCUGAUGCAGCGACGCCGCGUGGGGGAGGACGGCCUUCGGGUUGUAAACUCCUUUCGCAACCGACGAAGCUUUUUGUGACGGUAGGUUGAGAAGAAGCACCGGCUAACUACGUG